This 69-nucleotide transfer RNA is filed under the name Strongylocentrotus purpuratus (purple sea urchin). It matches the Rfam family "tRNA". From Rfam's summary of the family: Transfer RNA (tRNA) molecules are approximately 80 nucleotides in length. Their secondary structure includes four short double-helical elements and three loops (D, anti-codon, and T loops). Further hydrogen bonds mediate the characteristic L-shaped molecular structure. tRNAs have two regions of fundamental functional importance: the anti-codon, which is responsible for specific mRNA codon recognition, and the 3' end, to which the tRNAs corresponding amino acid is attached (by aminoacyl-tRNA synthetases). tRNAs cope with the degeneracy of the genetic code in two manners: having more than one tRNA (with a specific anti-codon) for a particular amino acid; and 'wobble' base-pairing, i.e. permitting non-standard base-pairing at the 3rd anti-codon position. Lineage: Eukaryota; Metazoa; Echinodermata; Echinoidea; Camarodonta; Strongylocentrotidae. The record is from Rfam by way of RNAcentral.
AGUGUCGUAGUCGAGUGGUUAAAACACUCGACUUGAAAUUCAAAGGUCGUGGUUCGAUCCCCGACACGG